AUUGAACGCUGGCGGCAGGCCUAACACAUGCAAGUCGAGCGGCAGCACUUCGGGUGGCGAGCGGCGAACGGGUGAGUAAUACAUGGGAAUCUGCCUGGUAGUGGGGGAUAACUCUGGGAAACUAGAGGUAAUACCGCAUACGCCCUACGGGGAAAGCGGGGAUCUUCGGACCUCGCGCUAUCAGAGGAGCCCAUGUCCGAUUAGCUAGUUGGUGAGGUAAAGGCUCACCAAGGCGACGAUCGGUAACUGGUCUGAGAGGAUGGUCAGUCACACUGGAACUGAGACACGGUCCAGACUCCUACGGGAGGCAGCAGUGGGGAAUAUUGGACAAUGGGGGGCAACCCUGAUCCAGCCAUGCCGCGUGUGUGAAGAAGGCCUCGGUUGUAAG
This 388-nucleotide ribosomal RNA is filed under the name uncultured bacterium. Its description in RNAcentral is "bacterial SSU rRNA". It matches the Rfam family "Bacterial small subunit ribosomal RNA", at positions 30 to 429 of the family's 1533-position model. The record is from RNAcentral.